UACGAAGGGGGCGAGCGUUGUUCGGAAUUACUGGGCGUAAAGGGCGCGCAGGCGGCUCUGAAAGUCAGAUGUGAAAGCCCCGGGCUUAACCUGGGAAUUGCAUUUGAUACUCUGGAGCUUGAGUGUGGGAGAGGAGAGUGGAAUUCCCAGUGUAGAGGUGAAAUUCGUAGAUAUUGGGAAGAACACCGGUGGCGAAGGCGGCUCUCUGGACCACAACUGACGCUGAGGCGCGAAAGCUAGGGGAGCAAACAGG
Molecule: ribosomal RNA, 253 nt
Filed under: uncultured bacterium
Lineage: Bacteria
Description: partial 16S ribosomal RNA
Rfam family: Bacterial small subunit ribosomal RNA
Source: RNAcentral